UUUGAGGAUGUAGCUCAGUGGU
This 22-nucleotide non-coding RNA is filed under the name Rattus norvegicus (Norway rat). The record is from RNAcentral. Lineage: Eukaryota; Metazoa; Chordata; Mammalia; Rodentia; Muridae.